This is a long non-coding RNA of Rattus rattus (black rat), 458 nucleotides long. RefSeq lists it as uncharacterized. The transcript is spliced from 2 exons. The record is from RefSeq and is a predicted model, not a curated record. NCBI's taxonomy places the organism in Eukaryota, Metazoa, Chordata, Mammalia, Rodentia, Muridae.
GUGUACUACUGUUACUCCGUGGGGUGUGUGUGUCUGUGGUCAGUGUGCUACUGUUACUCCGUGGGGUGUGCGUGUCUGUGGUCAGUGUGCUACUGUUACUCCAUGGGGUGUGAUGUGUCUGUGAUAAGUGUGUGCUACUCUUACUCCGUGGGGUGUGGCAUCUGUGGUGAGUGUGUGCUAGCAUUACUCCUACUGGAAUCUGCUUUUACAUCAGAACCUACAAUGCUCGCCAUCUUACAAAUCAUUUCCUAACUUUUGCCGUUUUUGUUUUUAUCUUAGCUUAUGAAUGCCAAUAUUAAAGAUGAUGGAAAUUGCAUUACUGCUUACAUAUAAAAAAAACAUUUAACACAGCCAUAAAGAACAUAUAAAAUUGAUUGUGACACUGAUUAAAAAGGACAUCUAACUCUUCAGGACCAUUUGUCCCAUAUGAAGGAAAAAUAAAGUUUAUUAUUUUAUUA